Molecule: ribosomal RNA, 253 nt
Filed under: uncultured bacterium
Lineage: Bacteria
Description: partial 16S ribosomal RNA
Rfam family: Bacterial small subunit ribosomal RNA
Source: RNAcentral
UACGUAGGGGGCUAGCGUUGUCCGGAAUCAUUGGGCGUAAAGAGCGUGUAGGCGGUCCGGUAAGUCCGUUGUGAAAGUCAGGGGCUCAACCCUUGAAUGCCGGCGGAUACUGUCGGGCUAGAGUCCGGAAGAGGCAAGUGGAAUUCCCGGUGUAGCGGUGAAAUGCGUAGAUAUCGAGAGGUACACCUGCGGCGAAGGCGGGUUGCUGGGCUGACACUGACGCUGAUGCGCGAAAGCUAGGGGAGCGAACGGG